This is a long non-coding RNA of Malania oleifera, 1415 nucleotides long. RefSeq lists it as uncharacterized. Lineage: Eukaryota; Viridiplantae; Streptophyta; Magnoliopsida; Santalales; Ximeniaceae. The transcript is spliced from 2 exons. The record is from RefSeq and is a predicted model, not a curated record.
CAUGACAUACAAAUUUACAGUUAAUUAUAAAAACAUAGUUGAUAUAGAUACAAUUUUUUACAGCGUCAUGGUUUAUACAGUUAUUACAGAAUCAUGGUAAAACAGAUAGUUGUAUAUAGAGAUGUAUUAUAUAGUAUCAGACCCUAUUGGACCAUAUAGUUACAGAGCACGAUACCGUAGCUACAUACAGUAUAUAGAGUGUGACCACCUAUUUAGAUAAUACAUGGUGUAAAGGUCAAUCGCAUAGAGCCCACGAGUGGACAGACUCCCCAUCAGAUAUGGGUAGAGGAGGGCUGAUAAGACCUAUGGAGUAUAGUGGUCUAUUCCUGGUUGGCCAGUUAGGGUAGAUCCCGCCUACGGGCCGCACAACCCUGUCAUGAGGGAUUAAAUCCUGACACACAGUUAUCCACAAGAAAAAUUUUAGUUAUUACUAUGUUUAUACAGAUGUACAGAGACAAAAAAUAUAUAUAUUUAUUAGAAGUAUUUUGAGUAGAAGCCUAAAGUAUAGAAAUGUUAAGCAAUAGAUAAAAGAUAAUGAUUUAUAUUACUGGUAUUGUACUUUACAUAUUCAGUGAUACAUGAUCAUAUAGUAAUAAAUUUUUACAAUAUUGUAACUCAUUUGCCACACACUAGCAAUAGCAUAUUUCGUCUUACUGAGCAUUGGCUCAUCCCAAUUAAUUUAACAUUUUUCAGGUGAUUCAGGUAGGCAAAUAGAUCAGGCUCGCAGAUAGAGGGGCUUCAGUACUGCCCUAUUAAUAGAGAGUGAGUAAUUGUUUAGAGUAUUUUUGUAUAGCCCUAACCAGUUGUGGGUAUUUUGGGGAACAGUCAUAUAUGUAUAUAUUGGGAAACAUUUUAGCACUCUGGUAUUGUAUAUAAUUAUAUAUACUUAUGUUUAUUUGAUUUCUACUUCUCAUUGCUUAGGUUGAUGAUUGAGUUUAAUCCAGUGUGGUAUUAGAGCAUUUUAAAUGUUAUAGUAUAAAAAAUAAAAAAUAAAUCCAGUUAAAUAGCAGGUCGUUACAGUUUAUGUUUGGAAAAUCAUGAUUUUAGAUUACGAAAUGGGUGUGGUUUGUUUGGUUAUAUGAGCAUGCAUGGUUGUGUUUUGUUGGAGUGCAAUAGGAACUGGGUUUCAAAUUGUUUCAGGUACUAAAAAAGUGUCCGACUCUAUAUCCGAGGGCGUGAGCCUUAUCGGCUGAUCACCGAAGGGUGUGGAUCCACCAAUUGUAUAGGUACGAUGUCAUGGGAGUCUGGAACUACGCCAUGUGUUGGGGACGCCGUGUAAUGCGGGCCGGCUUCGAGCCAAAAGGUCCUUCGAGUAAUCGGAACUAGCGUCCUUGAGUUGGGAGUAUAAUGGUCGGUGUACUGCGAAUAGCGCUUGUAUAAGUGCUAGGACAGUUGUUUUUGGGAUAUGGUUGACA